GAUUCUGUCUACUGGGGGCUUAUUUGACCUUAUUUGGUCAGUUACCGGAGGUAUUGUAGGUGCGGGGGUGGUAUUUGUCGGGAAUGGAGGUUGUGGAACAGCCGUAUUAGUUUGAAUGUAUUGGUUGAACCAAUCAUUCAUCAUGCUAUAGAAAGCUUGUCUAGCUUCAUCAUUCGGGUAACUAGCAUUAGGUUGAGAGUCCACCG
RNAcentral lists this long non-coding RNA (206 nucleotides) under Gossypium barbadense (sea-island cotton). RNAcentral describes it as "long non-coding RNA (GBAR_LNC011413)". Lineage: Eukaryota; Viridiplantae; Streptophyta; Magnoliopsida; Malvales; Malvaceae. The record is from RNAcentral.